RNAcentral lists this ribosomal RNA (162 nucleotides) under uncultured bacterium. RNAcentral describes it as "partial 16S ribosomal RNA". It matches the Rfam family "Bacterial small subunit ribosomal RNA", at positions 355 to 509 of the family's 1533-position model. The record is from RNAcentral.
UAGGGAAUUUUCGUCAAUGGGCGCAAGCCUGAACGAGCGAUGCCGCGUGAGUGAAGAAGGCCUUCGGGUCGUAAAGCUCUGUUGCGGGGGAAAAAAGGCAUCUGCAGGAAAUGGUAGAUGACAGAUGGUGCCCCACCAGAAAGUCACGGCUAACUACGUGCC